AAAAUACUACAGGAAUAGCUGAGCAAAUCACCGCAAACCGCGCUUCAAUAUCUAGAUCUAGUACCUCGUAACAGCCGGAGCAUGGACCAAGAGAAUAAAUAAGGACCCCCAACUCCAGUUAGCGCUGACAUCAGCGCUGCCUGGCAGAGGGUGUAGUGAACUAAACCGACGAUUGGGUCCUCCUGUUUAUAUUUCCAUGCACCACAGCCUAUUAUUUAGGCUUAUCACUCAGUGCUCAUAGAAGUUUCUAGAUCCUCGUAUCCUCGUGGUCGUCUUGAAGUUUUGAAAAGUUUAGUGUGAAAAGUUUCCCAUUUUUAUUUCAAUCUUCGUCAGUCCUUGGGUACAUAAACUGGUAAUAAUGUGAAGUGUUUUUCUAACCGUUUUACUCAGCAGCAACUGCUGUUGAGGAAGUGUGUAUGUAGUGUGCAGCAGGAAUCAGGAUUGUACCUUUAUAGCCGAAGGCGCUUCUCUGUUUUCUGUUAAGUGAAAUCUUUUUAUUGAGAAAUAGUUUUGUACUGAUAAAAAUCAACUGAGUGUCACAAAAUCAAAGAUACUUGACUUCAAGCACUACCUUUAAUUUGAUUAUUAGCAAGUCUCUUUGAUUCUGCGUCAGAAGUUGACUGAAUCAUCUUUGCUUGUGUUUUGAUACGAUACUUCAAAUCAAAGUCUUUCGCAUUAACCUCUGCAGAAGGUAUGUAUCUAUGCUAUUUCAUUAGUUUGCGAAAGUAAAAUGUAUUAAAGUAUCCGAACAAAUUAAUAAAUCAUAGAUAAACAAAGAACAUUGCAUGGAAUAACAUACUGUAGAGGUACGAUCGUGGACCAUUGUGGCGUUAGUUCACCGCACCCUCUGCCAGGUUCGCUGCAAGCGCGCGGUAACGGUUUUUAACACAGGUUUCAAUAGGGAGUUGGGAGUCCUUAUUUAUUCUCUUGGUCCAUGGCCGGAGUUCGACAUUAAAACACCUGCAAAAGUGGGUGAAAAUCGGGGACUGGGGACUUUGCCCCCUUGUAACUCGAAAACGAUCUUUCAAACUUGGAAGGAAACAACAUCCGCUACCCGCUACCCAGAGUUUAAAGUCUCCAAAAGUGGUAUUGCAAUUAAUGCAGGAUUAGCUCGUGCCUGAAAGAUUAAUUUAGAAUGCUUACUUAGAAUUACUUACAUGCAUUUCCUAUGAUUUUAUAAUGCGCUGAAUUCGAAUUUGGACUCGGAUUUUCAUAAGAAAGUCAUUUGUCAAAGUUAACUUUAUUUUUCCAUGAACUAGCUGAAAAUCACAAGCUCUCAACUGAUGUCUAAUUGCUCUAAGAUAUACAACAAACUCCCUAGAUAUAUUAAAGAAAUUGAAGAGAGUACCACAUUUAAAAGAAGUGUUGAUACAUUUUGUAAGGAGAAUGUAUUCUAUAGUAUUGAGGAAUAUUUAGAGUAAAUUAUGUAUAUUAGAUUUAUAACAAUUACUAUUUUGACUUUGUAAUCUUUUGUUUUAAAUCAAAAGAAACAAUAAAUUAUUAUUAUUAUUAUUAUUAUUAUUAUUAUUUUGUCUCAGCAUAUAAUUUAAUUAAAGUGACAAAAAUGGGUAUACUAGGU
Molecule: long non-coding RNA, 1579 nt
Filed under: Bemisia tabaci
Lineage: Eukaryota; Metazoa; Arthropoda; Insecta; Hemiptera; Aleyrodidae
Description: lncRNA ENSASIAIIG002244
Source: RNAcentral